AUGGCCGGAGGGUCUGCCGCGCGGCGACGCAAUGAGCGCCGUGAGGAAAGUCCGGGCAACAAAGAGCACCAUAUUUGCUAACGGCAAGCUAUCGGCAACGGUAGAGACAAUGUGACAGAAAAUAACCGCCAACGCGCGCUCCGGCGCGCACGGCAAGGGUGAAAAGGCGAGGCAAGAGCUCACCGGGCGCGACGGCGACAUCGCGCGCCGCACAUCUUAUGGGUUGCAAGGUCAAGUAUACCGGCAUCGAAGGGCUGCUCGUCCAUUGCCGGGGGGUAGACUGCGCAGAUAAAUGGCAGACGGCACGCCGCAAUUCCUCCGAAAGGAGCGAUAAUGCGGCGCCCACAUAACCCGGCUUAUACUCCGACCAUGUUU
This 375-nucleotide RNase P RNA is filed under the name Muribaculaceae bacterium. RNAcentral describes it as "RNase P RNA component class A". It matches the Rfam family "Bacterial RNase P class A". From Rfam's summary of the family: Ribonuclease P (RNase P) is a ubiquitous endoribonuclease, found in archaea, bacteria and eukarya as well as chloroplasts and mitochondria. Its best characterised activity is the generation of mature 5'-ends of tRNAs by cleaving the 5'-leader elements of precursor-tRNAs. The record is from RNAcentral. Lineage: Bacteria; Pseudomonadati; Bacteroidota; Bacteroidia; Bacteroidales; Muribaculaceae.